This 184-nucleotide ribosomal RNA is filed under the name Scaphirhynchus albus (pallid sturgeon). Its description in RNAcentral is "partial ribosomal RNA". Lineage: Eukaryota; Metazoa; Chordata; Actinopteri; Acipenseriformes; Acipenseridae. The record is from RNAcentral.
UAAAACCCAAAGGACUUGGCGGUGCCCAGACCCUCCUAGAGGAGCCUGUUCUAGAACCGAUAAUCCCCGUUAAACCUCACCACUUCUUGUCAUUCCGCCUAUAUACCGCCGUCGUCAGCUUACCCUGUGAAGACCAAUAGUAGCAAAAAUGGGCACACCCAAAAACGUCAGGUCGAGGUGUAGC